CGCGUAGGUGGUUUGUCAAGUCAUUUGUGAAAACUUUAGGCUUAACUUAAAGAUUGCAAGUGAUACUGGCAUACUUGAGCACAGCAGAGGAAAGUGGAAUUCCUGGUGUAGCGGUGAAAUGCGCAGAUAUCAGGAAGAACACCAGUGGCGAAGGCGGCUUUCUGGGCUGUUGCUGACACUGAGGCGCGAAAGCUAGGGGAGCGAACA
RNAcentral lists this ribosomal RNA (207 nucleotides) under uncultured bacterium. RNAcentral describes it as "partial 16S ribosomal RNA". It matches the Rfam family "Bacterial small subunit ribosomal RNA", at positions 568 to 774 of the family's 1533-position model. The record is from RNAcentral.